GGACGAUUAGCGAAGCGGCCAAACGCAACUGACUGUAAAUCAGUCUCCUAUGGAUUCGGUGGUUCAAAUCCACCAUCGUCCACCA
RNAcentral lists this transfer RNA (85 nucleotides) under Mycoplasmataceae bacterium. Its description in RNAcentral is "tRNA-Tyr". It matches the Rfam family "tRNA". Rfam says of the family: Transfer RNA (tRNA) molecules are approximately 80 nucleotides in length. Their secondary structure includes four short double-helical elements and three loops (D, anti-codon, and T loops). Lineage: Bacteria; Bacillati; Mycoplasmatota; Mollicutes; Mycoplasmatales; Mycoplasmataceae. The record is from RNAcentral.